AGCAGCCGCGGUAAUUCCAGCUCCAAUAGCGUAUAUUAAAGUUGUUGCAGUUAAAAAGCUCGUAGUUGAAUUUCGGGGUUAGUAGGUUGGUCAUGCCUCUGGUAUGUACUGGUCUCACUGAUUCCUCCUUCCUGAUGAACCUUAAUGCCAUUAAUUUGGUGUUUUGGGGAAUUUGGACUGUUACUUUGAAAAAAUUAGAGUGUUUAAAGCAAGCUAACGCUUGAAUACAUUAGCAUGGAAUAAUGAAAUAGGACGUUCGAUCCUAUUUUGUUGGUUUCUAGGGUUGACGUAAUGAUUAAUAGGGAUAGUUGGGGGCAUUAGUAUUCAAUUGUCAGAGGUGAAAUUCUUGGAUUUAUUGAAGCUAACUACUGCGAAAGCAUUUGCCAAGGAUGUUUUCAUUAAUCAAGAACGAAAGUUAGGGAUCGAAGACGAUCAGAUACCGUCGUAGUCUUAACCAUUAAACUAUAGCCGACUAGGGAUCGGGCAUGUUAUCUUUUGACUCGCUCGGCACCUUACGGGA
Molecule: ribosomal RNA, 520 nt
Filed under: uncultured Glomeraceae
Lineage: Eukaryota; Fungi; Glomeromycota; Glomeromycetes; Glomerales; Glomeraceae
Description: SSU rRNA
Rfam family: Eukaryotic small subunit ribosomal RNA
Source: RNAcentral